This 443-nucleotide ribosomal RNA is filed under the name uncultured bacterium. Its description in RNAcentral is "partial 16S ribosomal RNA". It matches the Rfam family "Bacterial small subunit ribosomal RNA", at positions 338 to 795 of the family's 1533-position model. The record is from RNAcentral.
CCUACGGGAGGCAGCAGUGGGGAAUAUUGGACAAUGGGCGCAAGCCUGACCCAGCAACGCCGCGUGAAGGAAGACGGCUUUCGGGUUGUAAACUUCUUUUCUGAGGGACGAAGAAAAUGACGGUACCUCAGGAAUAAGCCACGGCUAACUACGUGCCAGCAGCCGCGGUAAUACGUAGGGGGCAAGCGUUAUCCGGAUUUAUUGGGUGUAAAGGGGGUGUAGGCGGGAAAGCAAGUCAGAUGUGAAAGCUCAGGGCUCAACCCUGAGACUGCAUUUGAAACUGUUUUGCUUGAGUGCAGGAGAGGAAAGCGGAAUUCCGGGUGUAGCGGUGAAAUGCGUAGAUAUAAGGAGGAACACCAGUGGCGAAGGCGGAUUGCUGGACAGUAACUGACGCUGAGGCGCGAAAGCGUGGGGAGCAAACAGGAUUAGAUACCCCGGUAGUC